This 72-nucleotide non-coding RNA is filed under the name Rhodobacteraceae bacterium HTCC2150. Its description in RNAcentral is "Singlet oxygen resistance RNA X". It matches the Rfam family "Singlet oxygen resistance RNA X". Rfam says of the family: SorX (RSs2461)like SorY is a singlet oxygen induced sRNA that counteracts oxidative stress by targeting mRNA for a transporter in Rhodobacter. It also has an impact on resistance against organic hydroperoxides. It targets SD sequence of potA mRNA via an aSD sequence. Lineage: Bacteria; Pseudomonadati; Pseudomonadota; Alphaproteobacteria; Rhodobacterales; Paracoccaceae. The record is from Rfam by way of RNAcentral.
GUUGCCCUGAUGGUGGGCUUACACCAUUACCCUCCCUGUUGGACUGACCCAAGCUUCGGCUUGGGUCUUUUU